GUCUAUGACCAUAUCACCUUCAACACGCGCAGAUACCAUCUGACCCAGGAAGCCCAGCAGGGUUGGGCAUAGUCAGCACUUGAACUAAAGCAAAUGAUCAUUUGAUGUCACUGAAU
This 116-nucleotide ribosomal RNA is filed under the name Octodon degus (degu). Lineage: Eukaryota; Metazoa; Chordata; Mammalia; Rodentia; Octodontidae. The record is from RNAcentral.